UGGUAGCUUGACGCAGCCUUGAUGGCCAAUC
Molecule: non-coding RNA, 31 nt
Filed under: Rattus norvegicus (Norway rat)
Lineage: Eukaryota; Metazoa; Chordata; Mammalia; Rodentia; Muridae
Source: RNAcentral